CACGAGUCAGAAGACAAAUGCAGAUUAACUGGAUUGAUUCUUUGGUGGGUGACGCUAGGUUUCUAAAGGAAAUUCUGUUUCCAUCAGUAUGGAUACACUGUUGUUUUUGCACAUUACUGCUGCUGUAUUCCAGUGUCAGUCAUAAUUACACAGCCAGUGCAGAGAAAGCAGAGCUCAAGUACCGGGAUUUCAUUGGUUGCUAUGUUCUGGGAGGGGUAGUAGGAAGGGCUGCAGUAUUCCAUCGACACUGUUGAAGACAUCUCUCUGCUUUAUCAUCUAAUGGGAAAUUCCCUUGGAAGGGCAAAGCUUCUCUGAGCGUGCCAAAAAAUACGAGAGAAGGACAAGAGAAGCUCAGUCAUUAUCCGGCUACAAAAUCUUGCUUAACACUGAAUUUUGCAAGGGAGGUUACUGUGAUGGAAGGAUUCCUAAAUGCACAGCAGAGACGAAUAACAAGAGCUGAAGAAGGUUUGCUGUUUACUUGAAAAGUGCCUUUUUCUCAAAAGUCACUUUUGCCAGUUAGAGCUACAGCAUACCGUCUGUGUUUUUAACGCAUUCUUGCCAAACAGGAUUCUGUUCCAAAGCGUCGCUGCCAUAAACUUGUAUGUCUUCACUUGCCAAUAGCCCGACAUGAAAUGGACUGACCGUCAGCAGAAAGAAAA
Molecule: long non-coding RNA, 659 nt
Organism: Spea bombifrons (plains spadefoot toad)
Lineage: Eukaryota; Metazoa; Chordata; Amphibia; Anura; Pelobatidae
Exons: 2
Source: RefSeq, a predicted model, not a curated record